Long non-coding RNA from Coccinella septempunctata (seven-spotted ladybird), 491 nucleotides. RefSeq lists it as uncharacterized. The record is from RefSeq and is a predicted model, not a curated record. Lineage: Eukaryota; Metazoa; Arthropoda; Insecta; Coleoptera; Coccinellidae. The transcript is spliced from 3 exons.
AUCCCUGUUCCACGUUCUAAGCCAUGUUUGGACAUCGCGCCAAACGCAGUGUUGUUGAAUGCCCUCUCUAUAGAGAGGGCAUAUAUGGAUAUAUCCAGGAGUAUCGCCAGUCUCCAUUCUUUGUGAUGUAGUGCGUCCUCAAUACUGUUAACAAUCGAGUGAAGAGCAGAAUCUACUGAUUUACCUAUCAGGUGGUCGGAUACGAUAGCUAACUUUUCCCUGAAGGAGGGGUCCCUGCACUUGAUACGAGACUCAGAAGCUACUUUUCUAACAGACUUGAUCAUUUUGCUUGUUGGCGAUGCAGUGCUGAGGCGUAGUUUCCAAGGAGGCGUCGAGGGUGUUCUUGGCGCGUUUUGAUGGCAACCGAUCCGCUGUCCGAUCGAUUCGCAGACAGUUACGGCGCCAGCAUAGACCACACCCACCAGUUCUCCAAAAGUAAUAACAUCUGUGGAGUGCCGCGAGAGGAUAGAGUUGACCUUCCUUACCAAGUC